AACGAACGCUGGCGGCAUGCCUAACACAUGCAAGUCGAACGAGACCUUCGGGUCUAGUGGCGCACGGGUGCGUAACGCGUGGGAAUCUGCCCUCUGGUACGGAAUAACUCAGGGAAACUUGAGCUAAUACCGUAUAAUGACUUCGGUCCAAAGAUUUAUCGCCUGAGGAUGAGCCCGCGUAGGAUUAGCUUGUUGGUGAGGUAAAGGCUCACCAAGGCGACGAUCCUUAGCGGUCUGAGAGGAUGAUCAGCCACACUGGGACUGAGACACGGCCCAGACUCCUACGGGAGGCAGCAGUGGGGAAUAUUGGACAAUGGGCGAAAGCCUGAUCCAGCAAUGCCGCGUGAGUGAUGAAGGCCUUAGGGUUGUAAAGCUCUUUUACCCGGGAUGAUAAUGACAGUACCGGGAGAAUAA
RNAcentral lists this ribosomal RNA (414 nucleotides) under uncultured bacterium. Its description in RNAcentral is "bacterial SSU rRNA". It matches the Rfam family "Bacterial small subunit ribosomal RNA", at positions 29 to 489 of the family's 1533-position model. The record is from RNAcentral.